Clostridium sp. HMP27 is the source of this 72-nucleotide transfer RNA. It matches the Rfam family "tRNA". Rfam says of the family: Transfer RNA (tRNA) molecules are approximately 80 nucleotides in length. Their secondary structure includes four short double-helical elements and three loops (D, anti-codon, and T loops). Further hydrogen bonds mediate the characteristic L-shaped molecular structure. tRNAs have two regions of fundamental functional importance: the anti-codon, which is responsible for specific mRNA codon recognition, and the 3' end, to which the tRNAs corresponding amino acid is attached (by aminoacyl-tRNA synthetases). tRNAs cope with the degeneracy of the genetic code in two manners: having more than one tRNA (with a specific anti-codon) for a particular amino acid; and 'wobble' base-pairing, i.e. permitting non-standard base-pairing at the 3rd anti-codon position. The record is from Rfam. Lineage: Bacteria; Bacillati; Bacillota; Clostridia; Eubacteriales; Clostridiaceae.
GGCCCCUUGGUCAAGCGGUUAAGACACCACCCUUUCACGGUGGUAACACGAGUUCGAGUCUCGUAGGGGUCA